GGUGAGUGUUGAACACUUUAUAAGUGAGAGGACCCAUACACCCAAUGCCUUAAGUUUUGAGUAAAAGAUGUGGUGUCCAAUCCACUUGUGGUGUGCUCUUAUUAACC
Molecule: microRNA precursor, 107 nt
Filed under: Lotus japonicus
Lineage: Eukaryota; Viridiplantae; Streptophyta; Magnoliopsida; Fabales; Fabaceae
Description: miR11090e stem-loop (lja-MIR11090e)
Source: miRBase by way of RNAcentral